UGAAUCCAUAGGUUAAUGAGGCGAACCGGGGGAACUGAAACAUCUAAGUACCCCGAGGAAAAGAAAUCAACCGAGAUUCCCCCAGUAGCGGCGAGCGAACGGGGAGCAGCCCAGAGCCUGAAUCAGUGUGUGUGUUAGUGGAAGCGUCUGGAAAGGCGUGCGAUACAGGGUGACAGCCCCGUACACAAAAAUGCACAUAUUGUGAGCUCGAUGAGUAGGGCGGGACACGUGGUAUCCUGUCUGAAUAUGGGGGGACCAUCCUCCAAGGCUAAAUACUCCUGACUGACCGAUAGUGAACCAGUACCGUGAGGGAAAGGCGAAAAGAACCCCGGCGAGGGGAGUGAAAAAGAACCUGAAACCGUGUACGUACAAGCAGUGGGAGCACGCUUAGGCGUGUGACUGCGUACCUUUUGUAUAAUGGGUCAGCGACUUAUAUUCUGUAGCAAGGUUAACCGAAUAGGGGAGCCGAAGGGAAACCGAGUCUUAACUGGGCGUUAAGUUGCAGGGUAUAGACCCGAAACCCGGUGAUCUAGCCAUGGGCAGGUUGAAGGUUGGGUAACACUAACUGGAGGACCGAACCGACUAAUGUUGAAAAAUUAGCGGAUGACUUGUGGCUGGGGGUGAAAGGCCAAUCAAACCGGGAGAUAGCUGGUUCUCCCCGAAAGCUAUUUAGGUAGCGCCUCGUGAAUUCAUCUCCGGGGGUAGAGCACUGUUUCGGCAAGGGGGUCAUCCCGACUUACCAACCCGAUGCAAACUGCGAAUACCGGAGAAUGUUAUCACGGGAGACACACGGCGGGUGCUAACGUCCGUCGUGAAGAGGGAAACAACCCAGACCGCCAGCUAAGGUCCCAAAGUCAUGGUUAAGUGGGAAACGAUGUGGGAAGGCCCAGACAGCCAGGAUGUUGGCUUAGAAGCAGCCAUCAUUUAAAGAAAGCGUAAUAGCUCACUGGUCGAGUCGGCCUGCGCGGAAGAUGUAACGGGGCUAAACCAUG
This 992-nucleotide ribosomal RNA is filed under the name Escherichia coli. RNAcentral's name for it is "partial 23S ribosomal RNA". It matches the Rfam family "Bacterial large subunit ribosomal RNA", at positions 159 to 1191 of the family's 2925-position model. The record is from RNAcentral. Lineage: Bacteria; Pseudomonadati; Pseudomonadota; Gammaproteobacteria; Enterobacterales; Enterobacteriaceae.